GAUGAAGAACGCAGCGAAAUGCGAUAAGUAAUGCGAAUUGCAGAAUUCAGUGAGUCAUCGAAUCUUUGAACGCACAUUGCGCCCUGUGGUAUUCCGCAGGGCAUGCCUGUUCGAGCGUCAUUUCAACCCUCAAGCUGUGCUUGGUGUUGGGCCCUGCCCGCUGCGGCCGGCCCUAAAGACAGUGGCGGUGCCGCCUGGCCCUGAGCGUAGUACAUCUCUCGCUCCAGUGCCCGGUGGUAGCCUGCCAGAACCCCAACUCUCGUGGUUGACCUCGGAUCAGGUAGGGAUACCCGCUGAACUUAAGCAUAUCAAUAAGCGGAGGA
Molecule: unclassified non-coding RNA, 323 nt
Filed under: soil metagenome
Description: partial contains 5.8S ribosomal RNA, internal transcribed spacer 2, and large subunit ribosomal RNA
Rfam family: 5.8S ribosomal RNA (bases 1-120)
Source: RNAcentral